AUGCUCCGCCUGCCGGACUUCGCCGGCUCCAGGAGCAACUACGCCCUCCACAACAUGGGCCUCCUCACCCAGGCCGACGGAGGGCUCGGGUGCGGGCCGCCCGACAGGUUCGCCGUUGCCGACUUCGUCCUCAAUGGCGCCGCCAUCUUGCGGUUUCUCUCUGAGGAAGGGAAGUGGAAGGCGGUACGGCCGGUCCAUGGCAACCCAUCGCUCCCGCGCCCGAUGGAGAUGAACCAGGAGACGGUUGCCUUCGGCGGCCGCCUGUGGUGGGUCGACCUCACCUUGGGUGCCGUCUCCGUCGACCCCUUCGCCGACCGGCCGGAGAUCCGCUUCGUCGAGCUGCCCAGCGGCAGCGUGCUGCCCGCGCCUGCACGUGUGGACGAAGCAGACCCCUGCAAGGUCGAGGAACGGGGGCUGCUCAUUAUGGAGGUCACCAAUCGCCGGCGCAUCGGCGUGAGCGAGGGGAGGCUGCGCUACGCCGAGGUGACUCCCGGCGGGCCAUUUCUGCUCAGCUCAUAUGCGCUCGACGACGACGAGGGCACCGGCUGGAAGCUGGAGCACCAGGUGGCACUCAGGCGGGCGUUGGCGGACGGAGGCUACUCGGCACAGGCGGCGCCGCAGAUCGCCGUCCUUGACCCCGUCGACGCCAACAUCAUUUACCUCAAGGUCGGCAAGGACGUCGUCGUGGUGGACAUGCAUAACGGGAAUGUGAUUGGGGGCUGUCGGCUUCAAGGAGAGUACAUUUCUCUUGUACCAUGCGUGCUUCCACCAUGGCUUGGAUCAAGCCGGAUCCCCGCCGAAGGCAAGAAGGAUGGCAUGGAAGUGACAGAUGAUCUGGUUUCCUGGAACUAA
This 852-nucleotide ribosomal RNA is filed under the name Triticum aestivum (bread wheat). Its description in RNAcentral is "partial small subunit ribosomal RNA". Lineage: Eukaryota; Viridiplantae; Streptophyta; Magnoliopsida; Poales; Poaceae. The record is from RNAcentral.